Molecule: long non-coding RNA, 3122 nt
Organism: Neofelis nebulosa (Clouded leopard)
Lineage: Eukaryota; Metazoa; Chordata; Mammalia; Carnivora; Felidae
Exons: 2
Source: RefSeq, a predicted model, not a curated record
GACUUAAAAGAUGCCUUCUUUGCCAUCCCGCUGGCCCCACAGAGCCAGGCACUGUUUGCAUUUGAAUGGGCCGAUCCUGAAGAGGGAAAAGCUGUACAGCUCACCUGGACACGACUCCCCCAUGGAUUCAAAAACUCCCUUACUCUUUUUAAUGAAGCCCUGCACCAGGAUUUAGAACCAUUUCGAAUCUCCAAACCACAGGGAACUCUGUUGCAGUAUGUUGAUGAUAUCUUGCUGGUGGCCCCCUCUUGUUCAGAAUGCCCGAGUGCCACCAAGGAACUCUUGAGUCUUCUGCAAAAACUGGGAUACCGAGUAUCAGCCAAAAAAGCGCAGAUCUGUCACACUGCGGUCACUUAUUUAGGUUACAACAUUAAAAAAGGUAAGCGCUAUCUCGGUGAACAAAGAAUUCGUGCUAUACUCGAUAUUCCUCAGCCUAAAACUCGCAAACAAGUUCACGAGUUCCUGGGGGCAGCAGGCUACUGCAGACUAUGGAUACGUGGCUUUGCUGAACUGGCAGCCCCUUUGUAUGCCACUCUCAAGGGGUCUCUGGAGUCCUUCACAUGGGGGGGAGACUCAAACUAAAGCCUUCCAAGCUUUAUGAGAGGCUCUCAUGACCCCACCGGCCUUGGCCCUGCCAGGUCCCACUAAGCCAUUCCAUUUGUUUGUAGCUGAGAAAGGGGGUGUAGCCAAGGGAGUUCUGACUCAGCACCUGGGACCUUGGCGCUGACCAGUGGCCUGUUUAUCCAAAAGGCUAGACCCAGUUGCUUCCGGGUGGCCCACAUGCGUUCGACAGAUCGCUGCCACCACGCUACUAGUCAAAGACCCAGAUAAACUAACCCUGGGACAGAUGUUGCCUGUUAUGGUGCCCCAUGAAGGAGGCCUUACUGCGGGCUCCACCAGAACGGUGGCUAUCAAAUGCUCGGAUUACCCAGUAUCAGGCAUUGCUGCUCGACCAGCCCCAAUACGUUUUUGUGCCCCCAAAGCCUUAAACCCAGCUACUUUGCUGCCCAAAGGACUAGGUCCCCCUCUACAUUCUUGCCCAGAGACCUUAGCGACAGUUUCGUCCCUCUGCUCCGAUCUCACGGACGUGCCCCUACAGGAUCCUGAUAUCAACAUGUUUUCAGACAGCAGUUUUGUGUUUCAAGGGCAAAGGCAUGCCGGUGCUGCAGUUACGACAGACCGCGAGGUUCUAUGGCAAUAGACCCUUCCCCCAGGAACAUCAGCCCGGUGCACAGAGCUCAUUGCACUAACUAAAGCCCUUGAAACUUGGUAAAAACAAGCCAGUUAAUAUUUAUACAGACAGCCGCUAUGCCUUUGCAACUGUGCAUGUGCACGGGUCCAUCUGUCAAGAGCGUGGCCUCCUCACAGCAGAGGGCAAGGACAUCAAAAACAAAGCUGAAAUUCUAGACCUUCUAACAGCCAUCUAACCUGCAAGUCUCGAGAUCAUUCACUGCCCUGGACAUCAAAAAGGCAACUCCCUAGAGGCAUUCGGAAACCGCCUGGCUGACACGGGCAGUCUGGGAAAGCUGCCCUAACUGAAAGUAAAAGUGCUUUGGCACUACCGAUCUUGAUAGACCCCCUGCUUCCACCGGAGCCCAAUUACACGCCUAAAGAUGUGGAGUGGAUUUCAAAAAAAGGAGGAAGUAUGAUACCGGGACAAAAGUGGUUUCAGGAUCCUGAAGGAGACUUAGUUUGGGUCAAGAGGCACGAGCCUAAACCCCUGGAGCCACGCUGGAAAGGACCACACACUGUGAUCCUGACUACACCAAUGGCCAUGAAGAUAGAUGGUGUCCGAACCUGGAUUCAUCACUCUCAGGUUAAGAAAAACUGCGCGGAGGUGGGAACACCCAGGACUAAUACGGGACCAGAGAACGAACAGUGAUGGAAGGUUAAAAAGAAUAAUAAUAGUCUGGGUUUGUAUAAUAAGCUUGGGAGACUGUGCGGAACUGCACCCCUUGUCUUUUUGGCCAUACCAGUGGGAACUCAGACACUGUCACAGGGAAGGUGGUAACAUCUAACGCCUCUCGUACUAUGCCUUGUUUCUUGUUCGACCUGUGUGACCUGGUAGGAGAAGAAUGGGGUUGCAAACCUGGGCAAGAGCUCUCGGAAACAUUGGGGAGAACAAUUGUGGUUGUGGAAAUAGGGCACUAGAGCGAAAUUUGGCUAAGAUGCAGACAGAAAAAAUGAAUGUGAAGGAGAGGGUCAAUACCACUGUGCCAAAUGGGGUUGUGGGAUGCUAGCCCCCUGGUUAACAGGACGGGACAUUGACCCCCUAAUUACUCUCCUUAGAACCCCGAACCCCCAAUGUGAGGCCCAAGGAAAAUGUAACCCAACACCAGCUCAUCUAUUUUUUCCUCAUUCUGAGAUACUGGGCACACUGGGGCCUCCGAAUGUAUGAUGUCAUUGUGCCCUUGGGGUUCACGACCAAUUUUAACCCUAGAGGACCUCCAAGGGCAGGGUUGGUGCAUACUGUGUCAUGCCAACAAUUCCAGAUGAAUUCGAGACACUCUCAGUUUGGUAAGGAACAAUCUUAGAGCCAGGGAACGUGCCAGGGAGGCCAGCAAUAAUUGGUAUCACUCUUGGUCCCCCUGACUCACAUCGCUGCUCACCACCAUAGCCGGGCCACUACUGUUGUUACUUCUCGGGUUAACUAUCGGCCCGUGCAUUAUCAGUUGGUUAGUACAGUAUGUCAAGAGGCGAGUUGGUGAAAUAAAAAUUAUGAUUAGGUCCAACUAUGUCCCCUUAGUUCCUAAUGAUGAAUCAAGGGAUUGAUUCAUGGACAAGAAAAGGGGGAAAUGUAAGGGUUAAAUUGUAGUGUAGGGCUAACCUGUAGCCUUAAGAAAGAAGAGUUUUGUUUUAACACUAUAGGUUAAGAGGUAACAGCCUUAUCCUAUCAAUCAAGGGAUGUGAUUAGUGUUUGAUUGGAUUGGGGCAAGGGCCUGUUUGAACUGUUUCCACCUGGGCACUAUUCCUUUGUUCUGUUCCCAGGUGAUAAGACGAUGUGGUCAGCUAUAAAAACCCUGUACCCCGGCUGUUCGGGACCACACUCUGGUCAAGAGUGUAUGUCGGGACCGAUCAGUUUGCCUUGCCUCUCAUUGCAAUAAACUUUGUUGUGACUGUCA